This 496-nucleotide ribosomal RNA is filed under the name uncultured bacterium. Its description in RNAcentral is "partial 16S ribosomal RNA". It matches the Rfam family "Bacterial small subunit ribosomal RNA", at positions 28 to 507 of the family's 1533-position model. The record is from RNAcentral.
GAUGAACGCUGGCGGCGUGCCUAAUACAUGCAAGUAGAACGCUGAAGGAGGAGCUUGCUCUUUCCGGAUGAGUUGCGAACGGGUGAGUAACGCGUAGGUAACCUGCCUGGUAGCGGGGGAUAACUAUUGGAAACGAUAGCUAAUACCGCAUAACAGUAGAUAUUGCAUGAUAUUUGCUUGAAAGGGGCAAUUGCUCCACUACCAGAUGGACCUGCGUUGUAUUAGCUAGUUGGUGAGGUAACGGCUCACCAAGGCGACGAUACAUAGCCGACCUGCGAGGGUGGUCGGCCACACUGGGACGGAGACACGGCCCAGACGCCUUGGGGAGGCAGCAGUAGGGAAUCUUCGGCAAUGGGCGGAAGUCUGACCGAGCAACGCCGAGUGAGGGAAGAAGGUUGUCGGAUCGUAAAGCUCUGUUGUAAGGGAAGAACGAGUGUGAGAGUGGAAAGUUCACACUGUGACGGUAUCUUACCAGAAAGGGACGGCUAACUACGUG